GGGUUGUGAGGUUAAGCGACUAAGCGUACACGGUGGAUGCCCUGGCAGUCAGAGGCGAUGAAGGACGUGCUAAUCUGCGAUAAGCGUCGGUAAGGUGAUAUGAACCGUUAUAACCGGCGAUUUCCGAAUGGGGAAACCCAGUGUGUUUCGACACACUAUCAUUAACUGAAUCCAUAGGUUAAUGAGGCGAACCGGGGGAACUGAAACAUCUAAGUACCCCGAGGAAAAGAAAUCAACCGAGAUUCCCCCAGUAGCGGCGAGCGAACGGGGAGCAGCCCAGAGCCUGAAUCAGUAUGUGUGUUAGUGGAAGCGUCUGGAAAGGCGCGCGAUACAGGGUGACAGCCCCGUACACAAAAAUGCACAUAUUGUGAGCUCGAUGAGUAGGGCGGGACACGUGGUAUCCUGUCUGAAUAUGGGGGGACCAUCCUCCAAGGCUAAAUACUCCUGACUGACCGAUAGUGAACCAGUACCGUGAGGGAAAGGCGAAAAGAACCCCGGCGAGGGGAGUGAAAAAGAACCUGAAACCGUGUACGUACAAGCAGUGGGAGCACGCUUAGGCGUGUGACUGCGUACCUUUUGUAUAAUGGGUCAGCGACUUAUAUUCUGUAGCAAGGUUAACCGAAUAGGGGAGCCGAAGGGAAACCGAGUCUUAACUGGGCGUUAAGUUGCAGGGUAUAGACCCGAAACCCGGUGAUCUAGCCAUGGGCAGGUUGAAGGUUGGGUAACACUAACUGGAGGACCGAACCGACUAAUGUUGAAAAAUUAGCGGAUGACUUGUGGCUGGGGGUGAAAGGCCAAUCAAACCGGGAGAUAGCUGGUUCUCCCCGAAAGCUAUUUAGGUAGCGCCUCGUGAAUUCAUCUCCGGGGGUAGAGCACUGUUUCGGCAAGGGGGUCAUCCCGACUUACCAACCCGAUGCAAACUGCGAAUACCGGAGAAUGUUAUCACGGGAGACACACGGCGGGUGCUAACGUCCGUCGUGAAGAGGGAAACAACCCAGACCGCCAGCUAAGGUCCCAAAGUCAUGGUUAAGUGGGAAACGAUGUGGGAAGGCCCAGACAGCCAGGAUGUUGGCUUAGAAGCAGCCAUCAUUUAAAGAAAGCGUAAUAGCUCACUGGUCGAGUCGGCCUGCGCGGAAGAUGUAACGGGGCUAAACCAUGCACCGAAGCUGCGGCAGCGACACUNNNNNNNNNNNNNNNNNNNNNNNNNNNNNNNNNNNNNNGAAGGUGUGCUGUGAGGCAUGCUGGAGGUAUCAGAAGUGCGAAUGCUGACAUAAGUAACGAUAAAGCGGGUGAAAAGCCCGCUCGCCGGAAGACCAAGGGUUCCUGUCCAACGUUAAUCGGGGCAGGGUGAGUCGACCCCUAAGGCGAGGCCGAAAGGCGUAGUCGAUGGGAAACAGGUUAAUAUUCCUGUACUUGGUGUUACUGCGAAGGGGGGACGGAGAAGGCUAUGUUGGCCGGGCGACGGUUGUCCCGGUUUAAGCGUGUAGGCUGGUUUUCCAGGCAAAUCCGGAAAAUCAAGGCUGAGGCGUGAUGACGAGGCACUACGGUGCUGAAGCAACAAAUGCCCUGCUUCCAGGAAAAGCCUCUAAGCAUCAGGUAACAUCAAAUCGUACCCCAAACCGACACAGGUGGUCAGGUAGAGAAUACCAAGGCGCUUGAGAGAACUCGGGUGAAGGAACUAGGCAAAAUGGUGCCGUAACUUCGGGAGAAGGCACGCUGAUAUGUAGGUGAGGUCCCUCGCGGAUGGAGCUGAAAUCAGUCGAAGAUACCAGCUGGCUGCAACUGUUUAUUAAAAACACAGCACUGUGCAAACACGAAAGUGGACGUAUACGGUGUGACGCCUGCCCGGUGCCGGAAGGUUAAUUGAUGGGGUUAGCCGCAAGGCGAAGCUCUUGAUCGAAGCCCCGGUAAACGGCGGCCGUAACUAUAACGGUCCUAAGGUAGCGAAAUUCCUUGUCGGGUAAGUUCCGACCUGCACGAAUGGCGUAAUGAUGGCCAGGCUGUCUCCACCCGAGACUCAGUGAAAUUGAACUCGCUGUGAAGAUGCAGUGUACCCGCGGCAAGACGGAAAGACCCCGUGAACCUUUACUAUAGCUUGACACUGAACAUUGAGCCUUGAUGUGUAGGAUAGGUGGGAGGCUUAGAAGUGUGGACGCCAGUCUGCAUGGAGCCGACCUUGAAAUACCACCCUUUAAUGUUUGAUGUUCUAACGUUGACCCGUAAUCCGGGUUGCGGACAGUGUCUGGUGGGUAGUUUGACUGGGGCGGUCUCCUCCUAAAGAGUAACGGAGGAGCACGAAGGUUGGCUAAUCCUGGUCGGACAUCAGGAGGUUAGUGCAAUGGCAUAAGCCAGCUUGACUGCGAGCGUGACGGCGCGAGCAGGUGCGAAAGCAGGUCAUAGUGAUCCGGUGGUUCUGAAUGGAAGGGCCAUCGCUCAACGGAUAAAAGGUACUCCGGGGAUAACAGGCUGAUACCGCCCAAGAGUUCAUAUCGACGGCGGUGUUUGGCACCUCGAUGUCGGCUCAUCACAUCCUGGGGCUGAAGUAGGUCCCAAGGGUAUGGCUGUUCGCCAUUUAAAGUGGUACGCGAGCUGGGUUUAGAACGUCGUGAGACAGUUCGGUCCCUAUCUGCCGUGGGCGCUGGAGAACUGAGGGGGGCUGCUCCUAGUACGAGAGGACCGGAGUGGACGCAUCACUGGUGUUCGGGUUGUCAUGCCAAUGGCACUGCCCGGUAGCUAAAUGCGGAAGAGAUAAGUGCUGAAAGCAUCUAAGCACGAAACUUGCCCCGAGAUGAGUUCUCCCUGAC
Molecule: ribosomal RNA, 2804 nt
Filed under: Escherichia coli
Lineage: Bacteria; Pseudomonadati; Pseudomonadota; Gammaproteobacteria; Enterobacterales; Enterobacteriaceae
Description: partial 23S ribosomal RNA
Rfam family: Bacterial large subunit ribosomal RNA
Source: RNAcentral